This 406-nucleotide ribosomal RNA is filed under the name uncultured bacterium. Its description in RNAcentral is "partial 16S ribosomal RNA". It matches the Rfam family "Bacterial small subunit ribosomal RNA", at positions 30 to 526 of the family's 1533-position model. The record is from RNAcentral.
AUUGAACGCUGGCGGCAGGCCUAACACAUGCAAGUCGAGCGGAGCGGCGGACGGGUGAGUGAUGCCUAGGAAUCUGCCUGGUAGUGAGGGAUAACGUCCGGAACCGGGCGCUAAUACCGCAUACUAUCAGAUGAGCCUAGGUCGGAUUAGCUAGUUGGUGGGGUAAAGGCCUACCAAGGCGACGGUCCGUAACUGGUCUGAGAGGAUGAUCAGUCACACUGGAACUGAGACACGGUCCAGACUCCUACGGGAGGCAGCAGUGGGGAAUAUGGACAAAGGGGGAAAGCCGGAUCCAGCCAUGCCGGGUGUGUGAAGAAGGUCUUCGGAUUGUAAAGCACUUUAAGUUGGGAGGCGUUACCAACAGAAUAAGGACCGGCUAACAUCGGGCCAGCCGCCGCGGUAAUAC